This 856-nucleotide ribosomal RNA is filed under the name uncultured cyanobacterium. RNAcentral's name for it is "bacterial SSU rRNA". It matches the Rfam family "Bacterial small subunit ribosomal RNA", at positions 44 to 944 of the family's 1533-position model. The record is from RNAcentral. Lineage: Bacteria; Bacillati; Cyanobacteriota.
CUGCUUACACAUGCAAGUCGAACGGGCUCUUCGGAGCUAGUGGCGGACGGGUGAGUAACGCGUGAGAAUCUGCCCUUAGGACGGGGACAACAGCUGGAAACGGCUGCUAAUACCCGAUGUGCCGAGAGGUGAAACAUUUUAUGGCCUGAGGAUGAGCUCGCGUCUGAUUAGCUAGUUGGUGGGGUAAGAGCCUACCAAGGCGACGAUCAGUAGCUGGUCUGAGAGGAUGAUCAGCCACACUGGGACUGAGACACGGCCCAGACUCCUACGGGAGGCAGCAGUGGGGAAUUUUCCGCAAUGGGCGCAAGCCUGACGGAGCAAGACCGCGUGCGGGAGGACAGCCUAUUGGUUGUAAACCGCUCUUGAUAGGGAAGAAGCUCUGACGGUACCUAUCGAAUCAGCAUCGGCGAACUCCGUGCCAGCAGCCGCGGUAAUACGGAGGAUGCAAGCGUUAUCCGGAAUUAUUGGGCGUAAAGCGUCCGUAGGUGGUUGUUCAAGUCUGCUGUUAAAGCGUGCGGCUUAACCGCAUAUCAGCAGUGGAAACUGGACGACUAGAGUGCGGUAGGGGUCAGGGGAAUUCCCAGUGUAGCGGUGAAAUGCGUAGAUAUUGGGAAGAACACCGGUGGCGAAAGCGCCUGACUGGACCUGCACUGACACUGAGGGACGAAAGCUAGGGGAGCGAAAGGGAUUAGAUACCCCUGUAGUCCUAGCCGUAAACGAUGGACACUAGGUGUUGCCCGUAUCGACCCGGGCAGUGCCGUAGCCAACGCGUUAAGUGUCCCGCCUGGGGAGUACGCACGCAAGUGUGAAACCCAAAGGAAUUGACGGGGGCCCGCACAGGCGGUGGAGCAUGUGG